GAGAGACCUUAAUUGGUGGUGAAGAAAAGAGACACAGGGACAUGAUUCCGCAUUUCCAAGCUGAACGGGAGCUGCAGGCAAGCAAAGGGCAACACAUAGGAAGACAGCUGCCAAGAGUGUCCUUCCACCUGCUAUUUGAAGGAGACACGUCUUCCUUGACUCUACACACGCAACAGAAACAAAAGGAACAUUCACACUUCUCACAGAGGAUUGUGAGAAGUGUGUGCUGAAAAUCCACAUGGUGGGGUUUUCACAAGAGAUGUGUUGUAUGGAAGAGCACAGCACCAUGUCAUUUGUGGAGAUGUUGCUUAUAUUUUACCUCCUUGGAAUGAAGUGUUCCAAAAUUCCACUGCAUUACUACUCCAGUAUAGUUACCAGCGAGCUAUGACGGAGGAUCACCAUUGUUCUAAUGGAAGUAUUCCAUUUCCUUUGUGAUAUUACAAAAGUCAUUGUGAUACAGUUAUGUCCACUGAUAAGGCAGUGGUCAAAAAGUGGUAAAAGGAACGGUGAAAGAUAAAUCCUGUGUUUUCAGUGCUAUUGUAUUUAGGUUUCUUUUUAAGAGGGAAUAUUACUACCCACAUACUUAUUUUAUUUACUGAGUUUUAACCAGUGUGUUCCUAUCGAACAAUUUAUUUACCACUGAAACCAAAGUCAGUUAGCAAUAAUACUGGCUAGUACAACUGUAGUGAAAAGUACUACUAACAGGUACCAACCUGGUUGCCACCCAGCUGCAUUUGCUUCAUGUUUAGUGAAAGAGAGAUCUUUUAUUAAUAGAAAUGUGUUGUAUGAACUGAAGGAAAGCUGUGAAAAUGAUUUUUGUACAAUAUUUGUAGCAACAUAUCAUCUCAUUGGGUGACAAUUAAGGCUCCAUGUCCGUCCCGGAGGUCACGGAAAUUAUGGAUUCUGUGACUUUCCAUGACUUCCAUGACUUCUGCAGUGGCCAGUGUGGCUCACCCCAGGACUGCCCAAGCAGCUGGCUCUGGGCCCAGCUGCUCAGGUAGCCACAGGGACAGCCACACCAGCCACCGCUGGAGCGACUCUGCAGCCAGCCGCUUGGGCGACCCCACAGCCAGCCACACUGGCUACUGCUUGAGUGGCCCUGGAGCCAGCUACAAAGGCCGCUGCCCAGCGGUCCCGGGGUGGCCGCUGCUCAGCGGUCCUGGGGCGGCCUCUGGCAGCUGGUACCGGUGGCCCUGGCCCCCCAGCAGCAGCCCCUAGUCCUCCCCCCAGAGCAGCGGCCCCACAAAGAGUAGCCCCCGCAUAAUUAAUGUUCAGUGUGUCAUGUUUUGUUACCCCUUGGUUU
Long non-coding RNA from Caretta caretta (loggerhead turtle), 1303 nucleotides. RefSeq lists it as uncharacterized. NCBI's taxonomy places the organism in Eukaryota, Metazoa, Chordata, Testudines, Cheloniidae. The record is from RefSeq and is a predicted model, not a curated record.